This 85-nucleotide transfer RNA is filed under the name Hansschlegelia zhihuaiae. RNAcentral describes it as "tRNA-Leu". It matches the Rfam family "tRNA". Rfam says of the family: Transfer RNA (tRNA) molecules are approximately 80 nucleotides in length. Their secondary structure includes four short double-helical elements and three loops (D, anti-codon, and T loops). Further hydrogen bonds mediate the characteristic L-shaped molecular structure. tRNAs have two regions of fundamental functional importance: the anti-codon, which is responsible for specific mRNA codon recognition, and the 3' end, to which the tRNAs corresponding amino acid is attached (by aminoacyl-tRNA synthetases). tRNAs cope with the degeneracy of the genetic code in two manners: having more than one tRNA (with a specific anti-codon) for a particular amino acid; and 'wobble' base-pairing, i.e. permitting non-standard base-pairing at the 3rd anti-codon position. Lineage: Bacteria; Pseudomonadati; Pseudomonadota; Alphaproteobacteria; Hyphomicrobiales; Methylopilaceae. The record is from RNAcentral.
GCGGACGUGGCGAAACCGGUAGACGCACGGGACUUAAAAUCCUGGGCCGCAAGGCGUGCGGGUUCGACUCCCGCCGUCCGCACCA